ACGGCUCAGUAACACGUGGAUAACCUGCCCUUGGGUCCGGCAUAACCCCGGGAAACUGGGGAUAAUUCCGGAUAACGCACGUAUGCUGGAAUGCUUUAUGCGUAAAAUGGAUUCGUCUGCCCAAGGAUGGGUCUGCGGCCUAUCAGGUAGUAGUGGGUGUAAUGUACCUACUAGCCUACGACGGGUACGGGUUGUGAGAGCAAGAGCCCGGAGAUGGAUUCUGAGACAUGAAUCCAGGCCCUACGGGGCGCAGCAGGCGCGAAAACUUUACAAUGCGGGAAACCGUGAUAAGGGGACACCGAGUGCCAGCAUCAUAUGCUGGCUGUCCGGGUGUGUAAAAUACACCUGUUAGCAAGGGCCGGGCAAGACCGGUGCCAGCCGCCGCGGUAACACCGGCGGCCCGAGUGGUGAUCGUGAUUAUUGGGUCUAAAGGGUCCGUAGCCGGUUUGGUCAGUCCUCCGGGAAAUCUGACAGCUCAACUGUUAGGCUUUCGGAGGAUACUGCCAGACUUGGAACCGGGAGAGGUAAGAGGUACUACAGGGGUAGGAGUGAAAUCUUGUAAUCCCUGUGGGACCACCUGUGGCGAAGGCGUCUUACCAGAACGGGUUCGACGGUGAGGGACGAAAGCUGGGGGCACGAACCGGAUUAGAUACCCGGGUAGUCCCAGCCGUAAACGAUGCUCGCUAGGUGUCAGGCAUGGCGCGACCGUGUCUGGUGCCGCAGGGAAGCCGUGAAGCGAGCCACCUGGGAAGUACGGCCGCAAGGCUGAAACUUAAAGGAAUUGGCGGGGGAGCAC
This 796-nucleotide ribosomal RNA is filed under the name uncultured Methanosarcinaceae archaeon. RNAcentral describes it as "bacterial SSU rRNA". It matches the Rfam family "Archaeal small subunit ribosomal RNA", at positions 85 to 879 of the family's 1478-position model. Lineage: Archaea; Methanobacteriati; Methanobacteriota; Methanomicrobia; Methanosarcinales; Methanosarcinaceae. The record is from RNAcentral.